GACGAACGCUGGCGGCGUGCCUAAUACAUGCAAGUUGAGCGCUGAAGGUUGGUACUUGUACCCACUGGAUGAGCAGCGAACGGGUGAGUAACGCGUGGGGAAUCUGCCUUUGAGCGGGGGACAACAUUUGGAAACGAAUGCUAAUACCGCAUAAAAACUUUAAACACAAGUUUUAAGUUUGAAAGAUGCAAUUGCAUCACUCAAAGAUGAUCCCGCGUUGUAUUAGCUAGUUGGUGAGGUAAAGGCUCACCAAGGCGAUGAUACAUAGCCGACCUGAGAGGGUGAUAGGCCACAUUGGGACUGAGACACGGCCCAAACUCCUACGGGAGGCAGCAGUAGGGAAUCUUCGGCAAUGGACGAAAGUCUGAACGAGCAACGCCGCGUGAGUGAAGAAGGUGUUCGGAUCGUAAAACUCUGUUGGUAGAGAAGAACGUUGGUGAGAGUGGAAAGCUCAUAAAGUGACGGUAACUACCCAGAAAGGGACGGCUAACUACGU
Molecule: ribosomal RNA, 496 nt
Filed under: uncultured bacterium
Lineage: Bacteria
Description: partial 16S ribosomal RNA
Rfam family: Bacterial small subunit ribosomal RNA
Source: RNAcentral